GCGAAAGCAUUUGCCAAG
This 18-nucleotide non-coding RNA is filed under the name Arabidopsis thaliana (thale cress). RNAcentral also lists the same sequence under 1 other name. The record is from RNAcentral. Lineage: Eukaryota; Viridiplantae; Streptophyta; Magnoliopsida; Brassicales; Brassicaceae.